AAAGAUUUAGUUAAUUUAUAACAUUAGUUUGUCAAACUAAAAUAAUUAUUUCCAAUAAUAAUUUUUA
RNAcentral lists this transfer RNA (67 nucleotides) under Elateroidea sp. BMNH 1274768. Its description in RNAcentral is "tRNA-Asp". Lineage: Eukaryota; Metazoa; Arthropoda; Insecta; Coleoptera. The record is from RNAcentral.